AGCCCUUAAGACUAUACUUUCAGGGAUCGUUUUUAUAGUAUAUUAUUGUAGAAGUUUUUUUGAGCAUGUGAAGCGUUGGUCAAACCGCGAAGAGGUAGAUGUUGUGUCGUUUUCCAAAAAAUCACUAUCUGGUGGCGUUUUAUUGUAGUUGUUAUUUGCUAUUGAUGGUCGUUCUUCUCUCCGUUUGGGGAAGGAACUUAUGUUGAUGCAGUAAACUCCUUGGGGCCAAACAGCACUUUUUGUUGCAGCGUUAUUGGGCCUUAGGAAAUUCGUUGAUGUUCUGGUGGAUUAUGGAUCAGAUCCAAAUCAGUGGAGUGCAGUGGUUCGAUUUUGACUCACUGCAACCUCUGCUUCCUGGGUUCAAGAGAUUCUCCUGCCUCACCCUCCCGAGUACCUGGUACUACAGGCAUUCACCGCCACCGCACCUGACUAAUUUUUGUAUUUUUAGUUUUGCCAUGUUGUCCAGGCUGGUCUUGAAUUCCUGACCUCAGGUGAUCCAUCUGCCUCAGCCUCUCAAAGUGCUGGGAUUUUAGG
Long non-coding RNA from Gorilla gorilla gorilla (western lowland gorilla), 534 nucleotides. RefSeq lists it as uncharacterized. The transcript has 3 exons. The record is from RefSeq and is a predicted model, not a curated record. Lineage: Eukaryota; Metazoa; Chordata; Mammalia; Primates; Hominidae.